Molecule: ribosomal RNA, 297 nt
Filed under: Vaccinium ovatum
Lineage: Eukaryota; Viridiplantae; Streptophyta; Magnoliopsida; Ericales; Ericaceae
Description: partial 28S ribosomal RNA
Rfam family: Eukaryotic large subunit ribosomal RNA
Source: RNAcentral
UUGGCGAGAGACCGAUAGCAAACAAGUACCGCGAGGGAAAGAUGAAAAGGACUUUGAAAAGAGAGUCAAAGAGUGCUUGAAAUUGUCGGGAGGGAAGCGAAUGGGGGCCGGCGAUGCGCCCCGGUCGGAUGUGGAACGGCUAAUACCCGGUCCGCCAAUCGACUCGGGGUGUGGACCGGUGCGGAUUGGGACGGAGGCCAAAGCCCAGGCAGUCGUUAAGCCUGCGGAGACGCCUUCGCCUUGAUCGUGGCUGGCAGCGUGCGCCCUUGGCGUGCUUCGGCAUCUGCGCGCUCCCGG